Galleria mellonella (greater wax moth) is the source of this 6587-nucleotide long non-coding RNA. RefSeq lists it as uncharacterized. Lineage: Eukaryota; Metazoa; Arthropoda; Insecta; Lepidoptera; Pyralidae. The record is from RefSeq and is a predicted model, not a curated record. The transcript has 4 exons.
CUUCUACCUAUCAGAGACCGAAUAAACAAUGUGUACUGUGAUUUUCUAUUGCUUACUGGUAAUUGGCGCUGGCAUGCAUAUUGCCUGCCAUUGUAGCAAGGAGGUGCUUAACAGUUUACACUGGCGGAGUAUCAAUGAGGGAUGAUAGGAGAUGAAGUCAGGUCCAAGCCGGUGCUAUUGUAAACAUCACCGGCUGAAAGAAUAAAAAGUUGGUGGUAAGUCGCGCCGGUCACUUGGUCGUGAGGCUGUAGAGUGCUGGUAGUGCUACCGCGACCACUGCCGCUGUCGGCUGCAGUGCUGCCACCGUCGAUAAUGCUGCCAUUUGCCCAUGUGGUAUACAAGUGAUGAAACCCGAAAAUGACGUGUGACGUCACACCACAGCUUGUACCGAGAUCGAAGUGUCACGAACACUUACUACGGGCACAACACUAUCUAGGGUCAAAAGUAACAACAUUAAUGAAAAGAAAAGAUCACGUGUUACGGAGAGUGCUUAGACUCUGUGACUUGGAGGUAAUCGCCGCCGUAGUUAAAGCCGGGGCAAAGGGGUCUGCCCCAAAGCCCUCACCUGGACCCUCCUAGGAGAGUUAAGAAGACAUGUAGUCGUCGACAUUUAUAAAGGAAUUACACAGAUAAGUCUUUUCUUAAGCAACUUUUAACAGAAGGAGGUUCUCAGUUGAUCGGAUUUAUUCGAAAUUUAAAUUAAUUAAUUAUUUCUUACAUAUUUUAUUUUUUUAAAUUGUAUGUGGUCAAUGUCUGUGCCCGUUUCUUCUCUCGAGUUUUAUCACUCCUCGCCCCUUCUUGCCCCCAUCACCUCCCACACUGUGUGUAAUUAAUCCCCCUACCAGGAGAAGGAACCGCCGCACCUUCAGCGGCGGCCCUUAAUCUGUAAUUUAUUGUAUUUUUAUUUAGUACUAACAAUUGUAGAGGGAGGGUUUGCAAGGGCAUAUAAUACAUAUAAUAAUGUAAUUUUUCUUUAUUUAACACUGUAUAUGCUAUAAAUGUAUUUUUUAUUUAUUUUAAAUAAAAAUCUGCAUUUUAAUCAAAGUUUGCAUUUUUUCCAUAUUAGACAAUUUUAAUAUUAUUUUUAAUUUUACAUAAGCUGUCAAAACAAUGUAUCAUACAAAAACAGUAAAGAGGUUGCAUUACUUGAAUAUAAUUGCUCUUAACAUUCCGCCCGCCAUGGAUGAAUAGUCCAUAACCUAAGUAUAAGAAAAAAUUAACCAAAACAUAUUACUACAUUACAUAAAUAUUUAACCCCAAGACCAGUUAACAAUAGAUAAAUAAAAAGCUAUUUAACUCAUAAAAUUAAAAACAACAUAUUUCAGGGACAACACAAUAAAGCAUUAAAACAUUAGAGUAUUUAAAUAACAAUUAUUGAAAAAUACAACAUUAGAAUUAAGCAAUAAAAGUAAUAAAACAUUUAACAUUCAGUUCAUCACUGGUAAACAACAAAGUUUCGAAAUUGGACGCUUAAUUAUCGAAUUUUUGCUUCGCAAGCUAACUACGCGAGUGAUACCGUCUUUUCAGGAAUGCAACUCUGUAAUUCGGCCAAACAACAUUUAGCUGAUGGAAGAUUAUCUUCCAUUACUAGAACUAUAUCACCUACUUUAGAUCCUGCUGUACAAUUAGCCCAUUUGAAUUUAUGAAAAAAGUAUAUCAAAUGUGGUAUAUCUAACAGUUUCUUUCGUUUCAAAAUCUACAGCUUGCUAUUAUGCUAUUCAAUUUUUUUAUCCUGAUAUAACCAUUUGCAUUAAUAUCUGUUACAUGAACCUUUACAAUCCUUUCUUUCAAACGAGUUUCGUGCCUCUAGGUUCUGUACGUACGUAUUAUAUCCAAAGAGAUUUUUUUAAGAGAGCUGUAAGUGUUAUACCACGCAAUACACAAUCUACAGGAUUUUCUUUCAAUGAAACAUGAGAUCACUGUGACGAAUCUAAUCUGCCAUGUAUCUCUAAAUUACAAUCAGCUAUAAUAGUUUUCCAGCGAUUGCGAUGAUAACUCAACUAACAUAAAACCAUUGUAGAGUCAGUCCACACAUGCAUAUUUGCUUUUGGAAUAUUUAAAAGAUCAGUUACUUUGCUUAACAAUUUAGCUAGCAGGACAGCGCCACAUAAUUCGAGUCGAGGUAAGGAUAUCUGUUUAAUUGGAACUACCUUUGUUUUAACUUUUACUAAAUUGCAAUGAAUUUUAUGUUCACAAUCUAUGACUCGAAUAUAUAUCUACCAUAGCGGAAUAUGAAAUAUUUGAAGUAUCACUAAAAUCAUGUAACUCAAUAAUUACAUUAUCAUUUUUUCAUUUCGUUAUAGGUGCGAUAUUUUCAGAUUUCACCAUGAAAUGAAAUUCAUCAUUGUUCCGGUUCUAGGUAAGUCCUAUUAGUUUUGUUACAUCAUCAGAUUUUAUUUCAAAAUUGUUUGCUUUUUCUUUAUCAUUGCUUUCUUUAUUAUUUCUUUCUGUAUCAAGACAUUUUAGUACAUGCAUUUUGUUACUCAUCCACUUUUGCAAUUCAAAACCACCUCUUUUUUAUCGCUCUUUCCAUUGACGACACACCUCAACAACUUCCUCUUCAAUGUAACAGCCUGUCAUAAUGUCAUCCAUGUAAAAAUCAGACUUUACCCGCUCAGCAGCCAAUGGAAAAGUAUGACCUUCAUCACAAGCAACUUGCUGUAACGAUUUGACUGCCAGAUGCGAAGCACAAGAAGUACCAAAUGUGGCUGUCAAGAGACGAUAAUCGUGUAUUUCAGAGUAAAUAUCUUCUCGCCUUACAAUUUUUUGAAAAUCGACAUGUUGCUCUGCUACUUUUAUUUACCUGUACAUCUUUACGAUGUCAGCUUCCAUACAAAUUGGAUAUUUACGCCAUCUCAUGAUAAUAUGUCAUAAAUCUAGCUGUAAAGUGGGCCCUACUAUUGUAGUGUCGUUUAAGGAUAUACCGUUACUACCCUUGCCCGAUGCAUCAAAAACCGCCCUUGCCUUAGUUCUUUCUUCCUUAACCAUCGCGUAAUGAGGUAAAUUUAUGCAACAACUUUAUUUUUAUCCGAUUCCUCAGCAAUUUUCUCAAUGUGUCCAAAAGUCAAAUAUUCAUUAAUAACCCCUGAACACCGGCGUUUCAAAUUUGAAUCUUUUUAAAAAUUUGCGUUCUGGCCCAUGCAAUCUUUUUAUAGUAAUAGCUUUAGAAUUUUCACAUUUAAGAGAAGGAUCAUCGCGAAAAGGUAAGUUAACUACAUAUUUUCCAGAUUUAUCCCUACGUGUUGUUGCUGCAUAAUAAUCUUCACAUGCCUGUUCUUCAGGAGAAAAUAUGUUAUUUUUAUAAGAAAAGGGUUUAUCUUCUAACUCCCAGAAACGUUUUAACAAAUUAACAUCAGUAGCGUGAGUAUGCAUACUAGCUAUGACAUUAUGACAACCCUGCGAAGAAUUCUGUUCAUAUAUCUGACCGGACAAUAUCCAACCCAAGUAAGUAUCCUGAGCUAUUAAUGUGGCACUUGGACCUUUCAUUAAGCCAGGUUUCAAGAUACUGCCAUACACCUCCGCCCCUAAUAAAAUGUCAAUUUUAUUAGGAUAAUUAAAAUGAGGAUCAGCUAAUUGAAAGGUUUGCAAUUUUGGCCAAUCUGUCACUAUACAUUUUCUUUCAGGCAAUAAUGAUGUUACUGUAUCUACCACUCUAGCUGUUACUUGGAUUUUAAAUGAAGGAUCAUACCGUGACUGGAGAUUGACAACAACAACGUAUUUGGAAAUUUUGUCAUUACUAGUACCACCUACUCCCGAAACAACGCAUUUACUAGGUACCUUUUUUAGUUGAAGGAGCUGUACAGCUGCUUCUGAUAUAAAAGAUGCAUGUGACCCUUGGUCUAACAAAGCUCUUAGUACCUGGGUUGAUCCAUUUUUCGACUCAGCUUUGAUAAUAGCUGUGGCUAAAAGGACUUGUCCUCGUUUACUUCCAUUCAAAAAAUGGGAUGCUAUAUUUGUCUCUGUUGACUGAGUUGAAUCUUCAACUUCUUCAACUUGUGAUGUAGUAGCGACUACAUCUGCAAUAGUUUGAUCUUUGGGAUGCAAUAGAGUGUGAUGCCUACGCUUACACACAUGACAUUUAUUAAAUACACGACAGUUUCUUGCAUUAUGAUUAAUACCUAAGCAGUUAAAGCACAAGGAAAGCGAUUCAGCAAUACUACGACGUUUAUCAACAUUCUCCUGAGAAAACUUUUUGCAAUUGUAUAACCUAUGAUUUUCAGAACAAUUUAAUAUUUGACACAGUAUGCAAAACCUUUGGAUUAUUAACAUUACUCUGAACAACUUUUGGUUUAUAUUUGGGUUCUACGAAUUCCAGAGCACGAAAACGCGUUUCUAAAAACUCUUUGAAUUGUUGAAAUGACGGUAAAUCUUUAGAUGACUGACUCACCUGCAAUUCCCAUUGUUUCCGAGAUUCAGCGUCCAAUUUCAAACCCAUAAUAUAAAUUACAAUAACAUCCCAGGACUCCGUAUCAAUACCAAGAUUCGAUAGCUCAUGUAAACAAUCAGUGGUUGUAUCUAGGAGUUCCUUAAGAGCACUAGAAGAUUCUGCUACUAUGUUACGUUGACUGAAAAGUCGCUUUAAAAUACAAUUUGACAUAAACCUUUUAUUAUUAUAUCUAUCUAUUAACAUGUUCCAACAUUUUAUAUAAUUAGAUUGAGUAAUCGGUACAUGCCUAAUCAAUUGUUCUGCUUCACCUGACAGUUGUGUUUUUAGAUAAUGCAACUUUUGUACAUCAUCUAAAACGGGAUUGUUAUGGACAAGCGAGAGAAAUAAAUCGCGGAAUGAAGUCCAUUCAGUAUACCGGCCUGUGAACACAGGUAUUCGGAUUCUGGGUAAUUUAACCAACGAAUCUGCCUUAGAAGAGUUAGGUGAAACUUCGCAAUUACUACUUGAGGUACAACACUUAGCAUUAGAUAAAGCAUUUUUUAAUUCUACUCUAUAAUCUAAAUAAGUUUCAGUCACUAGUUCAAACACUUCAUCCUUGACAUAAUCGGUAGCAUUUAAAACAUUAGGUUCAUAUAGAGCGAUUAACUUUUCAUGUUUUGACGUAAAAUUAUUGUAUUGUUUCUCUAGAAUCUGAAGUCUUGUUUCUAAAUAGUUUUCAUUUAUUCUAUCUCUCGGCGCUUUUUUAAAAUUGAUUCUUGCUUUUUCUAUUUGAAUUUUAAUAUCUUCUAAAACUCGUAGGUUUGCAUCCAUUUUCAAUAAUUUUUCAAUUCAAUAUUUAAACGAUGAAUAUUUUCUAAGUCGGAUGUCAAAUUGUACUCACAGUUUUCCUUGAAACUAAUACAGAGACUGACACACUGCUGCAAUUGAUACUAGAAAACCACUCGAUGAUAGCAGCGGAGUCUCCGUCCUCAGCCGUCGCAAUAUUUCUUACCGUUUUGCAAUUGAAUACCACAGCUCAUCACAGAACUUAAAACGGCAGCAAUUAAAUCAUCCAUUCGGCUCGUAGGACCAAAAUGUAUAUGCCGUGAAUGUAUUUUUAUUAUUUUUAAAUAAAAAUCUGCACUUUAAUCAAAGUUUGCAUUUUUUCCAUAUUAGACAAUUUUAAUAUUAUUUUUAAUUUUACAUAAGCUGUCAAAACAAUGUAUCAUACAAAAACAGUAAAGAGGUUGCAUUACUUGAAUAUAAUUGCUCUUAACACCAGGGACAGGGCCGACAUUCUAGCAUACCGUCUCGGGGGGUAGUUCCAGCCCCAUCUCCUUCCCGAUCUUAUAAUACUUAGCGUCUCCAAGCAUCACGAGCAAGUGACGUGGGGUAUAGAGGAGUUCUUGUUGGGCGGGUCGCAAGUUUAUUUCGCCUGUUGAACUGCAGAGAACCGGGAACUUCCCAAGAGGAAGACACCCGAACCUGACUGAAUUUCUAACCCCUACGAAGAUGCCUUGUCGUGCUGACCAAGACCUUCAAGAGGAUACUAUAUACCAGCUACUUUUCAGAAACCUGAAAACUAAGUAGAGUUGUCGUACAAACUGUUUUCUUCAAUCUACCCAAACACUACAGUCCACUCUGCCCUAGACUUAGUAAUCACUUAUAAUAUGUAUUCUUUCAGAUAAAAAAAAGUUUCUUAGUCAAUUUAGAAGUGAUGAAGUUCUUCUGAGGUAAUAAACAUAAAAGAAAAAUAAAACCGAAUUGAGAACCUCCUUCUUUUUCUGAAGUCGGUUGAAAUUUUUUAAUUUAUUUUAGUCACAACCUGUUACAGUGAGUAAAUUGCCGCAAGUGUCAUGGGGACCUAUGGGUCAAGUACGGAUCAUGAAUGGGACUGAUCAUUAAUCUAAUUUUUUACUUUUUUUUGUGAUUCUAUAAAAUAUAUUAGUUUUAUAUAUAUUUAUUAUAGAUUAUGUAAAUAAAAAAGACAAACAUUAUCUAGUAUUGAUAAUAAGUAUAUCUAAAUGCAUGCAUGUUCUAUUCUAUCAUGGAAAUGUUUCUCAAAUCGUAUAUAGUUUUAAACCGCUUUGAACAAUUCUCUUUUAAUUUGUAUAUCAAAUUGGUUUACUUGUAUAAUAGUUUUAUAUAAAUUUAACCAUAGAUUAUGGAUAAUUUCAUGUUGUCGGUACAUUUACAAUUUACUCAAAUUUUUUUAAAUUAU